RNAcentral lists this long non-coding RNA (347 nucleotides) under Gossypium raimondii (Peruvian cotton). Its description in RNAcentral is "long non-coding RNA (GRAI_LNC005759)". Lineage: Eukaryota; Viridiplantae; Streptophyta; Magnoliopsida; Malvales; Malvaceae. The record is from RNAcentral.
UGUAGAAGUGGGUAUUAUUUUUGUUAAUAUCAUUAAUUGUUGCUUGUCAAGAGGAAUUUGGAUCAAAUUGAAGUUGUCUAAAUAAAUCUGUUAGUUGGGGAUUAGAUUUGGGUGGUUUGUUUUGUUUUGUUUUGUUUAUAACGAUUUUUAUUUUAUUUUAUUUUAUUAUUUGUCAUAAUUUUGUUUCCUAAAAAAAAUUUGUUCCACGUUCUUUUGUUUUUCCCCACUUCCCUUAUUCUAUUUUCUUUAUUUUCUUUUGGGGUUUCUAGCUACCAUUCUUUCCCAAACAAAAAUUCAAGUUUAAUCUUGAUCUUUUGUUCUUCAACUUGUCCAUACUCCUCUGUUCA